AACUGCCAUGACAUUAUGAUACUCAAUAUUUGCAAUUGAACUUUCCUAGUUAAAUAAAGGUUAAAUAACAAAAAUACAAAUUUAAAACGACAUACAGUGCAUUCGGAAGGUAUUCAGGCCCCUUUACAUUUUCCAUAUUGUGUAAUGUUACAGCCUUAUUCUAAAAUGUAUUCAAUAAAUGUUUUUCAUCAUCAUUCUACACACAAAGCAAAUGUAUAAAAAAUGUAAAACAGAUAUACCUUAUUUAUAUAAGCAUUCAGACCCUUUGCUCUGAAACUCUAAAUUGAGCUCAGGUACAUCCUGUUCCAUUGAUCAUCCUUGAUGUUCCUACAACCUGAUUGGAGUCCACCUGUGGUAAAUUCAAUUGAUUGGACGUGAUAUGGAGAGGUACACUCUUGUCUAUAUAGGCACCCACAGUUGACAAUGCAUGUCAGAGCAAAAACCAAGCCACAGGGUUGAAGGAAAUGUCUGUAGACUCCUGAGACAGGAUUGCAUUGAGGCACAGAACUGGGGAAGGGUAGCAAACACUUUCUGCAGCAUUGAAGGUCACAGUGGCAUCCAUUCUUAAAACUUCUCUUUGAUAGGGCGCAGCAUUUCUACUUUUUGAUAAAUAGCGUGCACAAUUUCAACUUCCUGCUACUCAUGCCAGGAAUAUAUUAUAUGCAUAUGAUUAGUAGGUCUGGAUAGAAAACACUCUGAAGUUUCUAAAACUGGUUCAAUCAUGUCUGUGACUAUAACAGAACUUAUGUAGCAGGCAAAACCCCAAGGAAAAACUGUUCAGAAUAAAAAAAAACAUGUUCUCCCUCUGACAGUUCCCUCAGUUGUCUUUGCCAAGGGAAAUUAGAUAGCGCCCAUUUUACCGUUCCUACGACUUCCACAGGAUGUCACCAGUCUUUGGAAUUGGGUUGAAGUUAAUCAUUGGUGAAACGAAGAAGAGGCACUUCCUGGAACAAUGUUACACUUUUGAUAGUUACGCAAGAGGGAAAAAGGAGCAUGUUUUGUUUACUUUCUCUAUUUUUUUCUUAUUUCACCUUUAUUUAACCAGAAGAAACAGCAUCAGCAGGAGCCCGAGUAUGAAUCAUCACUUCCAUCUAGUGGAUUUAAUCAGAAACACUCUCCAGCCAAGACCGGGAUCAAGCAUGACAUCUACUGGUCUUUAAACAUUCUUGAAAAUGCAAGUGUCUUACACAUUUCAAAAGAUUAGAAUCUUGGUAAUCAAACUAAGUUUUCCAAUUUAAAAUGGCUAUUACAGAGAACAAAUCCCAUGCUUUUGUUUGAGAAGAGCAAUCAAGAACAUAAACAUUUUCCGCCAUGACAGUUUUUAGACAUUCACAUCUGAAGGUAAAAUUAUGACUUACAAUCUGAUAUCUUGCUCUUAUUUCUCUUCCUGAGUAUCCCAUUGAUCAAAUGAAGUGCCGUUUUCUUUGAUAAAAUCAAUUUUUAUAGCCUAAAUCUAAACAUUUUGUAAACUAUUUGUGCCGUGAAUUCCUUCUCUAUCAUUUUUUUACGGAGCAUUCGGGGUGAUUCGCCCCUGUAAACAAUCGUUUAUAUAGUCAUGGUGGGUUUCAGUGCAUUCCUCUGGAUGUUUGCAACACAGUCAAAUAUCAUUGUUUUUUUUGCGGGGAGAAUUGACCGAAGUGAGCUGAUUUAAAGACAACGAUAAAUGACUACCUUACGCACCAAUAAUUUUAGCGAAGCUUCAUUGAUUGACUAUAUUUCUGCUAAAUGACCACUGAUUUUCUUGAAAUCUAGCUGGGUAGAUAGCCAAUGAGCUGAGGUAAACGCCAGUAUAUAAUGGUUUGGGGUUGGACCACAAUUCCUUGGUUGUAAUCGCACGCGCAGGGAACUCCAUUUUCGCCUUGACGAUCAGAGGAAUUGCUGUAAAGGCUUUUUACGCAGCUGUAUUUCGGAAAGUUGUAGUUUCAACGAUUUCAUUGAAGAUAUCCUGGCGAAUACAUAAUGUAAAGCGAAGUCAAACUCUAAAGUAAAAGUGAAAGUGAGACAGAUUUUUUGUUUGAGGAAUCUUGGAGUGUUAUGAUUCAAACGAACUGAGGAGGUGUUUCUGCAAGGACAGGACGUACUUCUGGACGGUGAUAGCGACUCCGACUGGGAGGCCCCGGUGCCAAGCUGCCCGCUCUACCUGUGCCCCCAAUGGUGUUCAUAUGCCACAGUUCUUUACUGCAGGCAUGACUGCCUCAGGGCCAAAAGGGCGCAGCAUGGAGGCGUCGGUUGUGUUCUGUGUCGCAUGAAAUGCACCACUUGUUCAGUUUGCCUCUGCUUUACAUCAGAAAGAGACUGCUAUGGGACAUGGCACAGGCAGCAAAAUACUGUGACAAGGAUUUCCAAGGGUUGCACUGUUUUUUUUUCUAUAUUUUUUUUCUAAUAUUUUUUUUGUGUGUGUGUGUGUGUGUGUGUGUGUGUGUGUGUGUGUGUGUGUGUGUGUGUGUGUGUGUGAUACAGUUAUUUGCACUGCUGUAUAUAGUUAUAGGUCAUUUCACCAAUUCGGCCACUUGGGUACAUUUGGGCAACUUGUGUGGGACACAGUUAUCAGUCUGAAACUUUGCGCACCUACAGUUGCCCUCUUGUGCUGUCCAUCAAAAUUAUCUCCAGCAUCCUAUCUGACUGUGUGGCUAUUCUAGUACAUGUGGAAAAUGAUACUACAACAAUAAAAAACAAAACAUA
Molecule: long non-coding RNA, 2682 nt
Organism: Oncorhynchus keta (chum salmon)
Lineage: Eukaryota; Metazoa; Chordata; Actinopteri; Salmoniformes; Salmonidae
Exons: 3
Source: RefSeq, a predicted model, not a curated record